CUACGGGUGGCAGCAGUGGGGAAUAUUGGACAAUGGGGGAAACCCUGAUCCAGCAAUGCCGCGUGUGUGAAGAAGGCCUGCGGGUUGUAAAGCACUUUCGGUUGGGAGGACUGCUUCUAGCACUAAUAUUGUUGGAAGUUGACGUUACCUUCAGAAGAAGCACCGGCUAACUCCGUGCCAGCAGCCGCGGUAAUACGGAGGGUGCACGCGUUAAUCGGAAUUACUGGGCGUAAAGCGCGCGUAGGCGGCUAGAUCAGUCGGGUGUGAAAGCCCCGGGCUUAACCUGGGAACUGCAUCCGAUACUGUCUAGCUUGAGUACAGGGGAGGAGAGUGGAAUUCCACAUGUAGCGGUGAAAUGCGUAGAUAUGUGGAGGAACACCAAUGGCGAAGGCAGCUCUCUGGCCUGAUACUGACGCUGAGGUGCGAAAGCGUGGGGAGCAAACAGGAUUAGAUACCCCAGUAGUC
RNAcentral lists this ribosomal RNA (465 nucleotides) under uncultured bacterium. Its description in RNAcentral is "partial 16S ribosomal RNA". It matches the Rfam family "Bacterial small subunit ribosomal RNA", at positions 339 to 795 of the family's 1533-position model. The record is from RNAcentral.